Micropterus dolomieu (smallmouth bass) is the source of this 1034-nucleotide long non-coding RNA. RefSeq lists it as uncharacterized. NCBI's taxonomy places the organism in Eukaryota, Metazoa, Chordata, Actinopteri, Centrarchiformes, Centrarchidae. The record is from RefSeq and is a predicted model, not a curated record. The transcript is spliced from 4 exons.
GGGUAACCGAGUCCGGACGUUCCCCGCUUGGUGGGCGUGUCAGAGGUGUUACCCAACCAGCUGUCGUAUUACUCGACACACGCUUCGAAACCUCGAUGCGGACGGACACAUCACUAGUGGAACUUAUCGGGAUCCAAGUCGGCCCCUCCCAACUUGGACCGAUCUUCGUUUUUGCUGAAAUCGGAUUGGCUCAACAGGGCCGAUCAAAGAAGUUUACUUUCCAUUUGGAGCGAGUUUAAUCUCCAAACGUCUUGUCAGGGCUGAAGUCAGCUCUGGGUUGUGUGAUAGGCUCAACAGAGAUGCUGUGGAGGUGAUGAACAGGGUGAUGAUGACCCCAGUCAUGUUGAUGAGGAGGGGGAGAGAAGGGACAAGAGGAGGAGGAGGAGAAGGAGGACUGGGAAGAGAAGCAGCAGCAGCAGCAGAAGGAGAAGGUAGAUGGAACCAGACAAAACAGUGAAAGGCCUCCCUAAAUCUCUACAUUCAUAUCUCUUGGCAGUUUUCCCUGCACCUCUCCGUCUUUCCAGCCUCAUUUUGUCUCCAUCCGGACAUUACUUAAGCCUGAUCCUCCAACCCAGAGCCAGGAUGAUGAAAUUCCAAUGUGUCACUUGCAUAACCGGCCACCUUGCUAACAGACACGAUAAUAAUGCCAUGGCCUGCUUUGCUAACAGUCGCCCAGCACACCCAUUUCCCACCAUUAGGCCUGCUUAAGUGUACUAAUCCAUCCACAAAGCUCUCUCAGUAAAGUAUUACUUCUAAAAUAUAAUGUAUUGUUGCAUAAAUGUAUUCAUUCACUGAUGCGUUCAUCCAUUUUAUGUUUUACACAACUAUAAAUGAAUGUAAUGUACAUGCUGUGAAAUAUAAUGGUAAUCCAUGAAAUGCAGAGGAAAGCCUGCCCUAAUCUCUGGAUUUACAUGGUUCUUGGGUAGAAGAGAAGUAUGGCUUGGGUCCCUAUUAGCAUGUUUUGUGUCAAUAUGUCAAAUUUGUAUGCAUCAGGGUCUGUAAUCUCUGAAAAUAAAAUAUAAUUGAGGAAGGUC